This 30566-nucleotide long non-coding RNA is filed under the name Nicotiana tabacum (common tobacco). RNAcentral's name for it is "long non-coding RNA (NTAB_LNC018638)". The record is from RNAcentral. Lineage: Eukaryota; Viridiplantae; Streptophyta; Magnoliopsida; Solanales; Solanaceae.
GGAUUUCUUGAGGUAAGUCUCUUGUACUCACUUUUUAUCAAUAAUCUUGUUUCCCCAUUGAUUUUCCACCUAGUUUGUGCGUAUUUAAGGUGGAUUUCGGGAGUUUGAGGCUAGGGAUUUGGAGAGUUUAAUUUGGGGAUUUGAGUGGUGAAUUUGGUCUUGGAUUUGAGUAAUUUUGGCAUGAGUGAACUCGAUGUCGAGUGGCUAUUCGUAUUUUGUGUAUUUUACCCGAUUUCGAGACGUGGGCCCAGGUCGACCUUUUGGGGCUAUUUUUCGAUUCUUUGCUAAAGUCGUAGAUUUAAUAUUUAAAUUAGUUUCUUGUAGCUGUAUUCAUGGUAUGUAAUUUCUUUUGGCUAGAUUUGGGCUGUUCGGAGUCGGAAAAUCGAGGGAAAAGAUUUGGAGGNNNNNNNNNNNNNNAUUUGGUACUGUUGUAACAAUUUGUGAUAUGUGAGAGCCGUGUACGCGAGGUGACGAGUGCGUACACAGGCUAAUUAUUGAAAUUCUGGUUCUUGCUGAGUAGUCUUCUUUUAAAUUCCUUAACUAAGUUGCCUUGGCAUGUGUAGCUGUCAUGUUUAGCCUAGUAUCGCAUGUCUACGUGUAUUAACCUUUACUUGAAAUUUGUGCAACAUGCUUUUUCAUGACCCAAAAUCCACUAUAGGCUGUGAUGGUGCCUAAUGCCGCCGUCAGGCAAGCCAACGAUGAUUGAUCCACUUAAUUACUCAUUUUUAUUCCUUUUGAAAUCAUAAUUUCCAUUAAUUAAAUAGUAUGAAAUAAAUUUAUAGGAUGAAACAAUGAUAAUUACAUGAACUACCAUACUAAAUAUCCAGUAGGAACCCCCAAAAUCCGGUAUCACAAGUGCAUGAGCAUCAACUAGGAAAUAUGAUAAAAUACAACAUCUGUCUGGAAUACAAAUUAGACAGGAGAAUGUAAAUAACUAUGAUGGAGACUCUGUGUGAUGCGGACUCGUAACAUGGGAUGCCGCUCACCUAAGUCCCUGCAAUAGCCGCGCCUCUGCACCCACAAGACCACUAGACAUAUAUGUACCUGCACAAAAUGUGCAGCAAUUAUAGCAUGAGUACGUAAAACAACGUGUACCCAGUAAAUAUCUAGUCUAACCUCAAAGAAGUAGUGACGAGGAGUAGACUUCGACACUUACUAUUGGCUAACAAUAAAAUACCGAAAUUAUAAUUAAGCAUGGAUUAUGUAAAUACAGCUGAAGACUCAAUAACAAGAAAUAAAUACACAAUUCUUUCAAUGAUAGUAAAUCCCAAAUUAGUUUCCAUCAUUUAACAAAUUAAUCUCUCAAGCCAAUGAAACAAUAUCAAUUAUAAUUUGACUCCAAGAAUUAUUACGCACGAAUGAUGCCGAGGUCGUACGGCCCGAUCCAACAUACAAAUAUAUAAAUUGUGCACUGCCGAGGGUCGACCGACAUGAACCAUAGAUGCAUCUAUCUUCUACCGAGGCAUUUGGCCCGCUCCACGAGAAGACAAAAUACUUUAUAAAUAACCGAUUCAAGAUUAUUACGAGGCUAAUAUUCAAAGAAACACCAAUUCUCAUUAACAGUCAAGUGACCCGUCCAAAACUCAAGUAAAUAAAGUUUAACCUUUUACAAUUCUUUUAUUAAGUUCCAAUAUGAUUUAAGUAAUUAAAUUAACAAGCAGGGUGCACAUAUCGUAAGUAUAACAUGAUUUGGGUCCUAGACUACCCGGACAUAAGCAUAAUUAGUAGCUACGUACGGACUCUCGUCACCUCAUGCGUACGCAGCCCUCACAAAUAGAAGCACCUAUUAAAUCAAUUCACCUAUGGGGUUAAUUUGCUUCGAAGUUCCAUAACCGGCUCCAAAGCUUUUCUAACAACUCAAACUGGCGCCCGUCACUCCAAAACUAGUAAAUAAAUGUGAAAUUCCAUGAACAUAUACUCUAAUACUCAUAAUAAAUCAAUUUAUAACAAUUUUUAACUCCGCUCGGAAAACUAAUAAAGUCACCCUCUGGCCCACGUGCCCGAAUUCCGAAAAUUUCCAAAGAUAAUCAUUACCCAUAAUACUACGAACUCAAAUAUAUGAUUUAUUCUCAAUUCCAUGUCUAAUUUCGUGGUCAAAAUCAAAAAAUACCAAUUUUUAGGUUUUCCUUCAAAAUCCCAAAUUUCUAUAAAUUCUCAAGUCUAAAUCCAUAUAUGAAUCUUAUAUUUAACUCACAAUACGCGGGAGUCACUUACCUUGAUAUAGAUGAUGAAAAUCUCCCCUUGAAGCUCUCCAAAAUCGACCAAACCAAGAGAGAAAUGAGAGAAAAUGAGCCAAAUCCCGUUUUUAAAAGAACCUUCUGCCCAAACGAUUUUCACAUCUCCGGCACCGCUUCUGCGGAGUUCGCUCUUGCCGACCAACCGCUUCUGUGGGUGGGCAUCUGCACAAAAGCGUCCACUUCUGCGGACCAACCUCCCCACUCAUUCCCGCUUCUACAACAAUUGCACCGCAUCUGCGGACACGCAGGUGCGGAAAGGACCGAGCCUUUAACUAGGUAGUGUAUAAUUCGAGCCUCUACUAUUUCAACACCAACACUAUAUACAUUUGGAUCCCAGGUGAGCCAUAUUUUGUCAUUCACAGCUUUCUGAUAAUUACACUGCAGAGCCCAUCCUGGCAAUAUGUGUUUAUAAAAUCUCUUCACAUUUGGUUCUUGACUCUUGUCUCAAGCAAUCCAGCUAGUUUAAUAUGUUCACUCUUCAGGUAUGUUAAUAGCUCUUUAUGCUUGUAUCACUUGUUUACACCCCUAACAUUUCACACCAACCAAGUCAUUGAGAUACAUAGGGAGGCCUACUUUUUGCUGUAGGCAGGUUAUUAUUACUCUUUAAUCCACCUGUUAUCUCUGAAGUUCUAGUAUUCCUCUGUAUGCUAGCUGCCAGAGCUGGAAAUUAUCUGGGACAACUAAGCUCAAGGCUUUUAUGCUCUUGCUCCUCCACUCUGAUGUUUUCCUUACCAGGUUCCUUAAUGCUCAUCUGGUCCUCCCUGAUAAGUAAAGUCAUCUUCCUUUGAUCAGUUUCAUGUUGAUAGUGCUCAUCAGUUGUAGCUUUGGUAGUCACCAUAACCUCAGUUACCUUAUCAGUCUUGUCACCAGCUGCUUUUGUUCUCCACUCCUGCUUUGGAGGCCCACCAUCUGUCUGUGCUGGCUGAGCAUUUUCUCUUGGUCUUCUCCUUCUCCUUGGCUGCAUAUAGGCCUGUUCUCAGCUUCUUUUUGCUUGCAGCAAUGACCUAUUUUUAGGCAAACCUCACAGAAUUAUGGUUUCCAAUCAUAUUCAAUCGAUUGUUCAAAUUGUUUUCUAUCUGGUUCCCAUACUAAGACACUAGUAGGAAGAGGCCUUGUAAUAUUUAUUUCAAUGAGCAUACGAGCAUAAAAAAUCCUUUUUUGUUUUGAGGUACACUCAUCAGCAUAAGUGGUUUCCCUAUUGCACUGGCAAUCCUACUCAGUGAUUUACCUCCCCAAAAACUUAUGGGUAGGUUUGGCAAUACCACCCACAUGAGUAUUUUCUUGCAGGAACUCCUUUGUGAAAUCAAAAUUAACAGUCCAUGGCUUCAAUAUCAUUGGUUUGUUAUUGAUUGUAUAAGGUCCAGAAUAUAAAAUUUCCUGCAUAUCACUUGUAGACUGAAAUUUGAUAACAUAAUAUCCUUCCUCGUGGUAAAACACCUCUGGUUCAGCCACUCGAUUCCAGCUCUGUUUCACAAACCUAUGCUUAUAGUUAUACCCCAGUGUCUCUCCAAUUACAUACACAAUCAGUGCACUCAUCCAUUUUUGGAUUUCUCUAUCAACAUCAUCCUUUUCAAGAUGAACAACAACUUUUCCCUCAACAAUUGGAAGAGGAAUGUAAUCUAAUUUUAAACCGUUUUCAAAGCUACGAUUACCUGCAAAUAGGGAUGUCCAUGCAAUUUGCUUUUUCUUGUUCUCAAUUGUUGGUUCCAGAUCUGGGACACCCUUACUCGUACUCACUUGAUCUGUUGUCUUCACUGGUGUAAUCUCAUUUUGUACGCUUAGAGAUGGGCUAGUGCUCAAACCCAGCCUCUUAGCGGUGUGUUGCAUACUUGAUUCCAUUUGUUUUUGCUUCAAAUUUGGCAAUGAAAUAGGAGUAGUCGUUGAUUGUGUCACAUUUGAUAUUUCCAGCUGCAUGUGAGCUUCAGCUGCUUUACCUAUAGUAGCUAAAGGUUUCAACCUAGAUCAUCCACGAUCUCGACCUCUUCCCCUAUCCAUAACCACGGUGGGCGUACAUUUAACUAACAUGCGCUGAGGGCAUGAGAGCUAGAGAGAGAAAGCAUACCUUAAUUAUAUUAUUGUGAUGUUUCCUAUGUACCAUUUGUUGUCUCUACUCUUACAUGUUGACUCGAGUUAUGAUAGAAUACUUGCACAAGCAUACAUGUAAUUAAUCACUCGUAUUAGUUUGAGAAGAUUAACCCUGAUGUCUAUUGAGCAUUUACAUAUAUUCUCGUAUACUUGCCUUCUGCGUGAGACUUAUUCUUGUAGCACAUGAGUUGUCCGUGCGGUCAAGAUCAUUAUUAUUGUUGGCACGUGAGUUAUCCGUGCGGGUAUGAGAUAUUAUCACUCCCUUGGCACGUGGAUCGUCCGUGCGGUUAUGAAUUGUAAUGUGAGCACAAGCUGCCAAGUGAUUAGGAUUCAUGAGUUGGGACCCGUGAAAUGUGACUAUGAGGUGAAGUACCUCGGGAAAGUCCUUGAACAAAUCUUAUGUGAAAGUGGUUGCUCUUAUUGAGUGUUACUUGUUUUUCCUUACUUGGUUUCAUCGGACUUAAACUGUAUUCACCAUACUCCACGGCGUUAUUACCAGUUGUGUCUCGUUGCUAAUUGUUGCUUUUAGUUUUCUAUUACCAACAUUGUUUCAUUAUUGUUAUCAUGCUUAACUUUAUAUUGAUAUUGUUCCCUUUAGUUUCAAAUUCAUACUUGUACAUGUUAUUAAAUCUAGUAGGUGUCUUAUUUGUCCCUCAUCAUUACUCCACCGAGGUUAGUUUUGAUACUUACUGGGUACCGCUGUAGUGUACUCAUGCUACACUUUUUGUACAUUUUUGUGCAGAUCCAGGUACUCGGAGUUUGUUGAUCAUUAGCUAGCUGAUCGGCAUUGCUGUGGAGACUAAAGGUACACAUGUUGUCGCAUUCGUAGGCCUCAGAGUCAUCUUCUGAAAUUUUAUUUUGUACUGUUUAUUCCUAUUACAGAACAAUUGCAUUUUAGAGAUUUUCUAGUAAAUUCAGUAGAGUUUAUCACUUGUACUACCAAUUUUGGGAUUGUUGGCUUGUAUAGAAAAUUCCAUUUCCAAAUUAAUAGUUGUUGGUUAAAUUUUGCCAUUAAUUCAGUAAGUGCUAGGCUUACCUAGUCCUAAAGACUAGGUGCCAUCACGACAUCCUACGGAGGAAAAUCGAGAUCGUGACAAAGAAAUACCACUCACACUGAACUGCUAGCUCUGGCAUAUGGGCUAAGAAUUGCUCUGCAGUUCAACUUCUAUCCAUUAGUAAUUAAAAUUUAUUGCAAGGCAGUGCUCGACUUGUCAAAUGAUAAAUCUGCAUACUUAGGGGUGGUUAAUAUUAGAAAUGAUCGGGGUCAAGUGUUUAUUAUUUUUUCAUGUCCUCUGGGCUGUAUGAUAAAUAACAAUUCAGAGGCUUUGGCUUUUAAGCUAGGAGUUGACUGGUGCAAUAGGACUGGAAUAAGGAGGAUUGGAAUUGAAUGUGACUCAACGCUCCUAACUGAAUGGAUUUCUAGCAAAUAUGACCUCCAUGGGACUUGUGGGAUAUCAUAGUAUAUAUUGAAGAGAUGCUCUGGACUAUUAAUCACUGCUUUAGAGAGGGCAGUAAAGUUGCUGAUUUACGUGCAAAUUGGGAACUGCAUUGUACUAGUGAUGCUUAUAUACCGAUAGGGAUGGCAAUUGGGCGGGGCGGGGCGAGACGGGGUGGGAUUGAGCGUUAGCGGGUUUGGGAGUUUGCGGUUGCGGGGCGGGUUCAAUUUUUAAAUAAAAAAAAACACGCUGGGCGGGACGGGUCGCGGGUUGGGGAUUUUAUUUCCCCCUAUUUCCUGCAUCGAUUUUUCUAGUAAUUUUUCUACGUUUUGAUUCAGUCCAUCCUCUUCCUAACUCACAUUCAUCCUCUCUGGUUUUCCUUCUAGCUUCAUCUUCCACAACAGUGGACGCCGCUUUGUAACAGACAAUGCACCAAUAAAUUCUCUGCUCUCACCCAAAUUCCUUGUAAUUUAUAGAAAUAGGAGAAUGACAAGUGACAAAAUAUGGGAAUCUAUAUAGGGUAUCAUGUCAAUUAUCAAAGUUACCAAAUUUUACAUACUUUGCUUUGUUUCAUCGAUAGGAAAUACCAGAAAUAGCUAAAAGCGUAGAAGAUAAUAUUUUGAUGGUGUUUCUUAAAUUAUCUUUGUGAAAAAUAAUGAUUGGCAACUAUAACAAAAUGCUUAGAGUUAGAAAUAAAGAAUGAAUCUUUAUGCCAAAUUUAAGUGGCAAAUUUUAAGAUGUUGCGUAGAUGUUUGUGGCGUCUUUAUAUAAUGCAACUACUGGCCAAAAAAAAGAAAAAAAGAGAGAAUUUUCUUUUUUAAAAAUUGCGGUGCGGAGCGGGGCGGGUGAACGCGGGUGGAGUGUAGGGCGGGUGGAUGCGGGUUUAAAUCUUAUGCGGUACAGGUUAAAAUUGUGCGGGUUCAGACAGAACCAGCCCCGCACCCGCACCACCUGCCAUUCCUAUAUAUCGGAUAUCAGGCCAUUCCAAGAGAAAUAAGAGGGUCUAUCUAUGUAGACAGAAUGCAACUUCUAGCUUUAAGAAUGAAUACUCAUAAGAGUUCCUCUUGGAUGGAUAAAAAAAUGUAUAGGCUCUAUAAUUUUGAUGUACCUUGAUAGGUAUGCUUGCUGGAAUAGGAAAGAUUAUAGAUAAUCUCUUAGCAUAUAAUUGAUUUUUGUAUGCUUCUGUGAAAUCCUACCUGAUUAAAAUAAUGGAGCAUGUUUAAUUCUAAGUAGGUACAUAGAAUUUAAUAUAUGUAUAUAUGCUACCAUCCUUUGAGACGGGGAAGAUUGCUAAACAAAGGUUGAUAUGAGACAUCCAACAUGAUGUUUGAGACAUAUAUAUAUGUAUAUAUAUNNNNNNNNNNNNNNNNNNNNNNNNNNNNNNNNNNNNNNNNNNNNNNNNNNNNNNNNNNNNNNNNNNNNNNNNNNNNNNNNNNNNNNNNNNNNNNNNNNNNNNNNNNNNNNNNNNNNNNNNNNNNNNNNNNNNNNNNNNNNNNNNNNNNNNNNNNNNNNNNNNNNNNNNNNNNNNNNNNNNNNNNNNNNNNNNNNNNNNNNNNNNNNNNNNNNNNNNNNNNNNNNNNNNNNNNNNNNNNNNNNNNNNNNNNNNNNNNNNNNNNNNNNNNNNNNNNNNNNNNNNNNNNNNNNNNNNNNNNNNNNNNNNNNNNNNNNNNNNNNNNNNNNNNNNNNNNNNNNNNNNNNNNNNNNNNNNNNNNNNNNNNNNNNNNNNNNNNNNNNNNNNNNNNNNNNNNNNNNNNNNNNNNNNNNNNNNNNNNNNNNNNNNNNNNNNNNNNNNNNNNNNNNNNNNNNNNNNNNNNNNNNNNNNNNNNNNNNNNNNNNNNNNNNNNNNNNNNNNNNNNNNNNNNNNNNNNNNNNNNNNNNNNNNNNNNNNNNNNNNNNNNNNNNNNNNNNNNNNNNNNNNNNNNNNNNNNNNNNNNNNNNNNNNNNNNNNNNNNNNNNNNNNNNNNNNNNNNNNNNNNNNNNNNNNNNNNNNNNNNNNNNNNNNNNNNNNNNNNNNNNNNNNNNNNNNNNNNNNNNNNNNNNNNNNNNNNNNNNNNNNNNNNNNNNNNNNNNNNNNNNNNNNNNNNNNNNNNNNNNNNNNNNNNNNNNNNNNNNNNNNNNNNNNNNNNNNNNNNNNNNNNNNNNNNNNNNNNNNNNNNNNNNNNNNNNNNNNNNNNNNNNNNNNNNNNNNNNNNNNNNNNNNNNNNNNNNNNNNNNNNNNNNNNNNNNNNNNNNNNNNNNNNNNNNNNNNNNNNNNNNNNNNNNNNNNNNNNNNNNNNNNNNNNNNNNNNNNNNNNNNNNNNNNNNNNNNNNNNNNNNNNNNNNNNNNNNNNNNNNNNNNNNNNNNNNNNNNNNNNNNNNNNNNNNNNNNNNNNNNNNNNNNNNNNNNNNNNNNNNNNNNNNNNNNNNNNNNNNNNNNNNNNNNNNNNNNNNNNNNNNNNNNNNNNNNNNNNNNNNNNNNNNNNNNNNNNNNNNNNNNNNNNNNNNNNNNNNNNNNNNNNNNNNNNNNNNNNNNNNNNNNNNNNNNNNNNNNNNNNNNNNNNNNNNNNNNNNNNNNNNNNNNNNNNNNNNNNNNNNNNNNNNNNNNNNNNNNNNNNNNNNNNNNNNNNNNNNNNNNNNNNNNNNNNNNNNNNNNNNNNNNNNNNNNNNNNNNNNNNNNNNNNNNNNNNNNNNNNNNNNNNNNNNNNNNNNNNNNNNNNNNNNNNNNNNNNNNNNNNNNNNNNNNNNNNNNNNNNNNNNNNNNNNNNNNNNNNNNNNNNNNNNNNNNNNNNNNNNNNNNNNNNNNNNNNNNNNNNNNNNNNNNNAUGUUUGAGACAUGCUACAAGAUGUUUCAAACAUCCCGUGAGAUGUUUGAGACCUCUAUUGUUUAUAUCCCAGAUUCUUAGUCAUGUGACUUUUGAUUGUUAAUAUAUCGAAUAUGAAGUGAUGACCAUAUAUAUUACUAAAUCCUUCAAGUCGAUUCAAACUUAACGAACAUUACUUUUGUAUAAGAUAUUUUUUCUAUUUUCAUUGGCCUUCAUCUCCUUCUUGUGACCUUGUGUAUUCAAACUGAUUUGAAAAAACCUGAAUGAUGUUUAAACUUAUAUCAAGAUGUUUGAAACAUCCUGUUAAUUGUUUGAAACAUCCUUUGUGAUGUGACAAACUUCUUUCGAGAUGUGUGAAACAAAUAACAAUGGCACAUCCAUCAAUUACAGUAACCUACUAACCUUCUACUCUAAUAUGCAUCCUCCACAUCCUCUUAUUUAAGGUCAUGUCAACAGUAAGCUUCAACUGUAUCAUGUCCUAUCUGAUCACCUAUCCCUAAUAAUUCUUUGACCUAUAUAUAUGUAAGUAUGUAUGUAUGUAUGUAUGUAUGUAUGUAUGUAUGUAUGCUACUAUCCUUUGAGACGGAGGAGAUUGAUAAACAAAGGUUGAUAUGAGACAUUCAACAUGAUGCUUGAGACAUGCUACAAGAUCUUUCAAACAUCCCGUGAGAUGUUUGAGACCUCUAUUAUUUAUAUCCCAGAUUCUUAGUCAUGUGACUUUUGAUUGUUAAUAUAUCGAAUAUGAAGUGAUGACCAUAUAUAUUACUAAGUCCUUCAAGUCGAUUCAAACUUAACGAACAUUACUUUUGUAUAAGUUAUUUUUUCUAUUUUCAUUAGCCUUCAUCUCCUUCUUGUGACCUUAUAUUUCAAACUGAUUUGAAAAAACAUGAAUAAUGUUUAAACUUAUAUCAAGACGUUUGAAAUAUCCUGUCAAUUGUUUGAAACAUCCUGUGUGAUGCGACAAACUUCUUUCGAGAUGUGUGAAACAAAUAACAUUGUCACAUCCAUCAAUUACAGUAACCUACUAACCUUCUACUCUAAUAUGCAUCCUCCACAUCCUCUUAUUUAAGGUCAUGUCAACGGUAAGCUUCAACUGCGCCAUGUCCUAUAUGAUCACCUAUCCCUAAUACUUCUUCGACCUAUAUAUAUGUAUGUAUGUAUGUAUGUAUGCUACCAUCCUUUGAGACAGAGGAGAUUGAUAAACAAAGGUUGAUAUGAGACAUCCAACAUGAUGUUUGAGACAUGCUACAAGAUGUUUCAAACAUUCCGUGAGAUGUUUGAGACCUCUAUUGUUUAUAUCCCAGAUUCUUAGUCAUGUGAAUUUUUAUUGUUAAUAUAUCGAAUAUGAAGUGAUGACCAUAUAUAUUACUAAGUCCUUCAAGUCGAUUCAAACUUAACGAAUAUUACUUUUGUAUAAGAUAUUUUUUUUAUUUUCAUUAGCCUUCAUCUCCUUGUUGUAACCUUGUGUAUUCAAAGUGAUUCGAAAAAACCUGAAUGAUGUUUAAACUUAUAUCAAGACGUUUGAAACAUCCUAUCAAUUACUUGAAACAUUCUUUGUGAUGUGACAAACUUCUUUCGAGAAGUUUGAAACAAAUAACAUUGGCACAUCCAUCAAUUACAAUAACCUACUGACCUUCUACCCUAAUCUGCAUCCUUCACAACCUCUUAUUUAAGGUUAUGUCAACGGUAAGCUUCAACUGCACCAUGUCAUAUCUAAUCACCUAUCCCUAAAACUUUUUCGUCCUACCUCUACCUCUCUUGAAACCAUCCAUAGCCAAUCUCUCACAAUUACGUACUAGGGCCUCCGUGCAUCUCCUCUGUACCUAACCGAACCAUUUCGCAAACAAUUGCAAUAAAAAUAUUCUUAUUUGUGAUUUAAUAUUUAAUCAAUUGCAGAAUUAAGUUUAAACUAGCAAACUUCCGGCGCUUCGCGUGAUUGUUUAAAAUAUAAGAUUCAUCAAACAAUCAUUUUCUAACUUUGAGGAAGAAUAUUUAAACUUGUAAAAGGAUGUAUUUAAAAAAAUAAAUAAAUUUGUUAAUAUCUUCAGUUCGGAUUACUUAGCCUUGGCAAUAGGAAAUAUGAGUAUUUCAACGGAGGGUGAGAUUAAUAUGAAACGUUCCGUUGACAUCAAAUUCUUAAAGCGCUUAAAUAUAUGUAAAGGGGUGAUGUAUUUUCCUUCUGCAUUUACGCAUCUUAAAUCUCCAUAAAUGCACCUCCUUUCCUGAUACAUUCCACCAUACUAUAAAUCGAGGCCAAAUAAUCAUUCAACCUUCUUCAACAAUUUCUCCAUCAAAGAUUCACAAUCACUUUCCAAGUUAAAUACAAAUUGAGGAGUAACUUAAAAUCAAAUAAGUGGCUUACGUGUGGGAGUGACAUUAGGUGUAUCGUCAAGGAUCCUCCUCGAAGUAGUUUGUAUAAACCCAACAAUAUACAGUCCCUCCAUAACGUAUUUAGGCGCACAUUUCAUUUUCCAAAUUCCCUAGCAUGUUAGGCAGGGGGCACUUAACAUAAUUAUUGAGUAAUGCCAUUUGAAUCUUUUAAAGUCCACCAUUCCAUUAAGAUACAUUGCAGAUCUUUAUCCUAAAAGGAAAAACCCAUUAAGGUUGAGAAGAGCUUCCUCCAAGCGACAACUUAGUCACUUUAUGCAAUUAAUUUGAACCAAUAAAGUCAGAGUAAUCCGUUAAAAAGAUGGUAGAGAAAACUCGUUAGAUCUUCACUUGCAAAGAUUAAAUUUGUCAUUAACACUGACUCCUGAUUAUUGAUCUUUAGUUCCUAUAUAACCGACGCUAAAGACUGGAAAUUGAGAGAGAUAAAAGUAAUCCAAUAAAUCAAUUAAACUCAUUCGAAGAGCAGAGCUGAAAUCCGAAGUUUGGAGGAGCUUCAUGCCAUCAUGAUUAAAUUAAAGAGGCGAGUUGCCUAAUGGUUAAACAAAUUUAAAGAACAUUUGAAACCAAAAAUCAAAAUAGAAAGAUUAGUGUUGCUCACCAUUGUUGAUCAAGAACCGAAACUUGAUCGUAAAGAGCAAUUGGUAAAACUUGGAGAGAGGGAAUCAAUGCAAACAUUUGAUAGUAAGCGAUUCAAUUAAUUAAAUGAACCAAAUGAAGUUUUAGUGGCGGCAUGUCAUUUCCCAAAACUACCAACCGGUCGUGAUGGUGCCUAACUCACUUGCUAGACAAGCAAAACAUAACGAAGGCGAAAUAAGAUAAUAGAAUUAACGAAAAUAGUAUAAAUCCAAAGCCAACUGACAUAAAUAAACUGCGUCAAUACAUAAAAUUUUCCAUAACUAGUAGUACGGAGUCAUGAGCUCUACAAACAAAUACUAGCCUAGAAAUAUGAAAUACCAAUACUGUCUGAAUAAUAAUAACAGCAACUGAAAUGGAGUGAGACACCAUGGACUGCAGUCAGAAUGCAGCUCUAACUUGUCUCUCAGCAAGUUUCAGCAGAAUACGGACAAUUCUGAACUGGGUCCAACACCUGGAUCUGCACAAUUAAAUACAGAGUGUAGUAUGAGUACAAUCGACCCCAUGUACUCAGCAAGUAUCAUAACUUACCUCGGCGAGGUAAUAGCAACAAGAAUUAUCAAUGAAACUCGCUAAUAAUCUUCUCAGUUCAUAAAUUUCACAAGUACACUACAAUAAUACCAUCUAAUCACAAAAACAUAGAUAAAGUCACCUUGGUACACAAAGAAUAAUGUACCAAGUCAUGUAUCAAUUAACAAUCCGGCAUAUAGAGAAGAUAUGCAUCUACUAUCAAGUCUCGGUGCACAUAUAGACAUAUAAAGAAGAUAUGUACCAUGCUCCGACUAAUCAAACCAAAUAGCAUAGACAGAAGAUAUGCACAACGAGGCAUGUAUACAUUCCGGAUCUAGCAUAUAGAGAAUAUAUGCAAAUAAAACAUGUAUACAUCCAAGAAAAUUGCAAGUAGAGAAGAAAUAAAAUAACCAAACUCUGAUCAGUUUUUCUCAUACCUCGUGUACAUCAUAAAGAGAGAAAGAUGAGAGGGUGACCCUAGGGGAUGGAUCCUUAUCCACACGUUGCACGGAUUACUCACGUGCCAAAUAUAAUAACCGCAUGGACCACUCACGUACUAUCAUAACCUAGAUCUGCAUGGAUCACUCACGUGCUAUCAACCUAGUAUAUAUCACAUAGAAAUCAUAUACAAGAAUACAUGUACAUGAUCAAUGGAUAUCAAAUUACAUACUCAUGGACUGAUAUAAUUGGUAUGCUAAGGUGCAGGCAUGUGCAAAGUAUAAUACCAUAGUUCAAAUUAGGCGAUUAUGCCACAAAAAUAGCAAUUAACAUAUUUGGAUAGGAUAUUAAGCUAAGAAUAACCUCUAACAUGAUUCAAUUAUCUCAAAGAGGGUACAAACAUGACAAGCAUGAUAGCGUGAAGCUUAGCAAUCAAUUCAAGGCAUACCAUAGUCUAAGCGCUACCCCGAGCAUAGAUAAAACCUCAAGGCACGCACAUAGGAUCAACCCCUCGCAUGUGCGCCACCCAUAGCACGUAGCCAACACUAGUAACUUAGGCAACUAGUGCCUCAACCAAGUUUAGGUAAGAUACUUACCUCAUGUAAGCCAAAUCAAUUCUCUAGAAAUCCCUUCCCACGCGAAUCGACCUGCGAACGACUCGAAUCUAACCAAAAAUAACUUAAUAACAUCAAUAAAGACCAUAGAAAAUAACCCCCAAACAAUAAGGCUUUGAUCUUGAUACAAAUAUACAAAGUCAACUAAAGAUUCAACUCAGGUCCGUAUCCCCGCAACCCGACAAAAGUUACAAAUCUUGAAUACCCAUUUGAAUACGAGUCCAAUUAUACAAGUUUCAUCCAAUUCCAACUCCGAAUCGGGGUUCAAAUCCUUAUUUUUCAUUUUAGAAAAGUUUUGCCAAAACCCUUAAUUUUUCUCACUUAGAUCAACCAACAAAAUACUAAAAUCAAGGAUGGAAUCGAAUAAUAAUCAAAUCCAAGUAAAGAAUACUUACCCCAAUCCAAUUCGUGAAAAUCCCCUAAAAUGAUAAAAUGUGUAAAAGUGUAAAGGUCACGAAAUGCGUCCCGAAAUAUGAUAAAAUGUGUAAAAGUCCCAAAAUUCGUCGCUUAAAAGGUCUGUCCAGGUGUUCCCUUCGCAAACACGGCACGUGCCUUGCGUUACUGCCUCUAGAAAUGCCUUCACGUUCACGGACAUGACCUCGCAAACGUGAUGAAGAACCCACCUAGUCCUAUGCAAACGCGACCAUGUCCUCGCGAAUGUGCAGUCCAACCACCUCCAACUACUUCGCUACUUCGCGAACGUGGAAUCCAACUGUGAAUGCGAUAACGGGCGACUGACCAACUCAUACUUCGUCACAACACAAAAUCCUAACCUGUCGUGAUGGCACCUAUCAUGGUACUAGGCAAGCCGACAUUUAUGAAAUAACUCCAACACUUAACAGAAAACGAAUUUAAAAUAGUUUAAAUGAUAACAACUUCCCAUAAACAGGAUAGAAAUCCAAAAUACAAUGCGAAAAUUUCGAACACCGGGGUGUCACUAAGUACAUGAGCAUCUAUACAUCAUAAGUCCAAAAAAUACUGUCUAUAAAAAUCUGAAACCAAAUACAAUAAGUGGAAAGAUAGGAAAGGAGAAACAAGGUCUGCGAAACGCCGACAGCUACCUCAAAAUCUCCAGAAGAUCAACUAUGCGCGGAAAUCAACACCCACUGUGUCCGGGAACAUCUGGAUUUGCACACAAAGUGCAGGGUGUAGUAUGAGUACAACCAACUCAGCAAGUAACAAUACUAAAUAAAGAACUAAAAGUAGUGACGAGUUUCACAAUUAUAGUUCAACUACAGUGAUUUCAACAUAAGAAAGUAGGCAUGCUCUCAAGUUCGAUAAAUUAGGUCAACAGUUAUUCCAUGACCAGUUCAAGUGAAAUAGAGUGUAAUAUCUUUCAGAAAUUUCAAACAAUGAUACAUGGCAGUUAAUGCAACAAUAAUAAAAUCAAAUGCAUCCUCUCAGGGCCACACUCACUCAACCUUCCCAUUCACUCAGCACUCAGCACUCGCACUCAAUAGGUACCCGCGCUCACUGGGGAUGUGUGCAGACUGCGGAGGGGCUCCUUCAGCCCAAGCGCUAUAAUUCGCACGGACAACUCACGUGAUGCACGGACAACUCACGUGCUGCACGAAUAACUCAUGUGCUAUAGUAUAAUAUCCGGAUCCGCAUAGACAACUCACGUGCUAUAGUAUAAUAUCUCACAACCAGGCCCUCGGCCUCACUCAGUCAUCAACCUCUCCAGGCUCUCGGGCUCUCAGAAAUCAUAAUAAGCAUCCCAGACAACAAUAAUAUGAUGCAUAAAAAAUGAACAAUAGAGGCUGAGAUGUAAUAUACAAAUAAACUGUGACUGAGUACAAACAACAAUUAGCAGAAAAUCCAACAUGUACGCGACCUUUAUGGGUCCCUAUAAUGCACACACAUAGUCUAAACAUGAUUUGUGGUUCAAUUUCUCUAAUAAAUGGAGAAUAAACAGACAACAACAGAUUAUUCACUACACAGUCCCAUGGCAUUUGACCGUGUUACAAUUCCUACGGUGCACGCUCACACGCCCGUCACCUAGCAUGCGCGUCACCUCAAAACCAAAUGCAUGACACGUAAUAUGAGAUUUUAUACCCUCAGAACCAAAUUUAGAACUGUUACUUACCUCAAUCCGAGCAAAUCUCUACUACAACAUACCCUUGCCUCACGAAACGGCCUCCGAAUGCCUCGAAUCUAGCCAUAAAUAAUGCGAUAUAAUCAAUACGGGCUAAAGGAAUCAACUCCAUAAGAAAAUUCUAAGAUAUUAAUCAAAAUAAAAAAUCGGCUCAAAAGCCGGCCCCCGGGGACACGUCUUGAAAUUUGAUAAAAGUUACAAAACCCGGAAGCCCACUCAACCACGAGUCUAACCAUACUAAAUUUAUCAAAAUCCGACACCAAAUCGUCACUCAAUCCCCCAAAUCAAUCUCUUCAAAUCACUAGCCUCAAACUCCCAAUUUACACCUUAAAUACACACCAACUAGGUGGGAAUAUCAAUGGGGAAGCAAUACUAUUGAUAAAAAAUGAGCACAAAGGACUUACCUCAAGAAUCCCCUUGAAAACCCUCUCAACAAUUGCCUAAACUGUGCUUGAAAUGUUAGAAAUGAAGCCAAAAUCGUGAACCCUUGCUUUUAACAUUCUGUCCAGUCUUUUCGCACUUGGGACCACAUAUCCGCACCUGUGGAACCGCUUCUGCAGUAAAUUCUCUAUUUAUGUGGAAGCCACUUAAAUCUACUAGGCCUGCAUCUGCGCUCCAUGUUCCGCACCUGCGAAGCCUCUUUUGCGGCCUUCCAUCCGCUUCUGCAGAAACAGGCCCCCCUCUCAAUUCCACAUCUGCCUCGCUCGCACCUACGGGCUCGCAGAUGCGGUAAAUUCCUCGCACCUGCGCCCUUUCCAGGCCAGCCUAACUCCGCUUCUGCGUAAACCCAACCACAUCUGCAGUAUCGCAGGUGCGGAAAUGACCUUGUGCCUGCAACCUCUACUCACCUCCUCCCUUGCCGCUUCUGAAGUUCACCUCUCACUUCUGCGAGAUCGCACCUGCGAUCCCCACUCCGUAGGUGCGAUUACACCAGAAGCUAGUAAGCUUCAGCACUUCCCUCAAACUUCAAUUUGUUCCGUUAGCCAUCCGAAAUCACCCGAGGUCCCCGAGACCUCAGCAAAACAUACCAACAAGUCUUAACACCUCAUACGAACUUAGUAGAGCCUUCAAACAACCUCGAACGACAUCAAUAACACGAAUCACACAUAGAUUCAAGCCCAAUGAACUUUAAACUUCUAGUUUUUACAAACAAUGUCGGAUCCUAUCAAUUCACAUAUGUUUACCCCAAAUUUUGCACACAAGUCAUAAAUGAUACCACGGACCUACUCCAACUUCCAGAAUCGGAAUUCAAUCCCGAUAUCAAAAAGUCCACUCCCGAUCAAACUUCCUAAAAAUUUAACUUUCGCAAUUUCAAGCCUAAUUCAACCACAGACCUCUAAAUCACAAUCAGGACACGCUCCUAGGUCCAAAAUUACCUAACGGAGCUAACGAAAACAUCAAAACUUUGUUCUGGAGUCAUUUACUCAAAGAUCAACAUCCGGUCAAUCAUUUCAACUUAAGCUUUCAACCUUGAGACUAAGUGUCUCAUUUCAUCUUGAAAUCACACCGGAUCUGAACCGACUACCCCGACAAGUCACAUAACAUCUAUAAUGUAUAAAAUGAGCAGUAAAUGGGAGAACGAGGCUACAACUCUUAAAAUGACCGGCUGAGUCAUUACAUACUUACUCUCCGCGGACACGACUACUUUGUCAUGAACACGAUAAAGAAUCAGACACCAGCAAAAUCUACAUUUUCCAAAAUGCUCUGGGUGGUCCGAAACCCACCCGAACCUCCCGAAAUAUCAUGACCCAAACUCCCACCGGAGCCGUGAUGGCACCUCACAAUGCUUUCUAGGCAAGCCAAAACUUUUACAAUAACAAUAAACUCAAUUAACAGAAAAUAAUAACCUCAAUAGCGAAAUAAUCAUAAAAUAUCUAAAAAUAGCAACAAUAACGCAACUACAACCAUCCAAUGAUCUGAUGUCAACAAGUACAUGAGUACUAAAGAAUCUCAAAAUACAAAGUCAAAUCCUCAAUAUAGAACUGUCUGAGUGAUAGAACAAUGAUAACAGAAAUAAACAAAAUAGAACUUCAAGGUCUGUGAACAACAUAUCAGCUACCUCGUAGUCUCCACAAGUUAGAACCGCUGCAAACUCUAGCAAUCACUACGCCCAGUAGUACGUGACUAUGCACAUAAAGUGCAGAGUAUAGUAUGAGUACAACCGACUCCAUGUACUCAAUAAGUAACAAACCUAACCUCGGGCUGAAAGUAGUGACGAGCUCGGAAGAAGGUCAGUGUCCAACACCAAUAAUCAAUAACAACACAUAAUAUAAUGAUGACAGUAAAAGAAAACACUCAAGAGAUAACAUAUUCAACUCGUUCACAAAUACGGAAAAUUAUACAUGCUUUCCAAGUAUAACAGUUAAAACCCCAAUCUUACCACCAAAAUCACUAAAACAUGAACGUAUUACGAAAAACAUUUCAAAACUUACAACAAUAGAUAAGACAUUUUAUUUUCCAUCUAGCAUGAGGAAAAUACAUCUCUAUGCCUACAUGUCAAAUGUAUAUAUCAAUUCAAUAAAAUCACAAUGAAGCUAUCGGGUGUACUCUCACUCAGCACGUUCACGGUGCCUGGCACAAGUGCCCCUCACUAUCACACUCACAACCACACUUAGAAUUGUAUGGGUGCCUAGCAUAAAUGCCCCUCACCAAAGCACAUAUAUGACCAUGUGUAUGCGCUCACUGUAAAUACCAGACUCUGGAGGGGCCGAUCCAUGCCCAAUCGCUAAUUGAAUAUAAGACAACCAUCAAUAUAACCAUUGCGGCAUGUAACCCGAUCCAAAUAUAAGUCACAAUACGGCUCCAUGGCCCACAUAAGUCAUCAACCGCUCAAGUCUCAAUUAACCACAUCUCACCAUACUAAGUUCAACAGUGUUACACAUAUGAGGCAUCAACAACAUGUGAGAAAUCACAAUAAGAACACAAUGAGACAGAGAUAUCAUAUACGGAUAUAGCAUUAUGAUUGAGAGUAUGUCCACAGUUAAGGAAAACAACUCAAAAACAGAAAGAAUAGCCCUAUCAUGUCUCAAAAAAGUAAGCACACAACCUAUACAUGAUUUCAAAUAUGAAUCAUAGCUCAAGUAAUCAUACACGUAGAGAAAAUACGGAUAUGAUGAGGCAUGACAGAAACCAAGUCUCAUGGUAGCCUAAAGUCUGCCUGGAUUAUGAAUACCCCGGUGUAUGCACACACGCCCGUUACCUAGCCCGUGCGUCACCCCCAACACAUCUCAUGUAUCUUAUUUCACGUGGAUAAUUACCCUCAAGACAAGUUUAGAUAUAUUACUUACCUCAAAUCGUCUGAAUCAAUAUUCCAAAAAGCCCUUCCCACGCGAAUCGACCUCCGAGCGACUCAAAUCUAGUCAAAAUAACUCAAUAUCAUCAAUAGAAGACAUAGGAAACAACCCCAAAUAAUAAAGCUAUGACCUUGAAUCAAUUAUGCAAAGUCAACCCGAAAAGUCAGCCCCGGGCGCGUACCUCAGAACCCGUCAAAACUCACAAAUCCUGAACACCCAUUCUGAUACAAGUCCAAAUAUAUGUGUCUCAUCCAAAUCCAACCUCAAUUCGACUUUCAAAUCAUCAAUUUUCACUCUCCAAAACCAUAGUAAAGACCCCCCCCCCCCCAAUUCCACCCUUAAUUCACAUAAACUAGUGUAAUAAUCUAUGAGUAAUAAAUAUCUAACAACAAAAUCGUGUUAAGAUUACUUACCCAUUCAAUUGAAGUGAAAUCCUCUCGAAAACUCGCCUCUAGUCGAGCUCCACAAUUACAAAUAAUGCAAAAUGACCAAAGCCUCGAACUCAUAUAGUCUACCUAGGGAUUCCGCGUUUGCAGUCCAAAUUACUACAUCUGCGAUCAAAAUCUCGCAUCUGCGAGUUCCACUUAAAAACCGACCAAGAGCAUUUGUGGUCCUCCAAGCGCAUAUGCACUUCCUCUUCUGCGGACAAACGUCGCAUUUGCGGACCUCCUAAUGCCAAGUUAAACUUGCACAUGUGCAUCAAAGGCCGCUUAUGUGGCUAUGCAUCUGCGACAAAAAUUUUGCAGAUGCAAAAACAUCAUACUCAAAAAUCUUCAGCCAUGCCAACUUAAUCAAAAAUGAUCUGAAACUCAUACAAAACACACCUGAGGCCCCCGGUACCCCUUCCAAUCAUACCAACCAAUCCCAAAAAUAUAAUACGGACCUACUCGAGGCCUCAAGUCACACAAAACAACAUCAAUACCAUGAAUCACACCUCAAUUCAAGCCUAAGGAACUAAUAAACUUUCAACUUCCAUAACUCAUGCCGAAUCACAUCAAAUCAACUCAGAAUGACCUCACAUUUUGAUACAAGUCCCAAAUGACACAACAGACCUAUUCCAACUCCCGAAAUCACAAUCUGACCCCGAUAUCAUUGAAGUCAACUCCCGGUCAAAAUUAUGAACAUUUCAAUUUUUGCCAAAUAGAACCAAAUAAACCUAUGUAAAUCCAAAUUCAAAAUCCAGACAUACACCUAAGUCCAAAAUCACCAUAGAAACCCAUUGAAAUUAUCAAAAUACCAUUUCGGGGUCAUCUACAUAAAAGUCAAACUCCGAUAAAUUCUUACAACUUAAGCUCCCGGCCAAGGGACCAAAUUUCCUAAUUAAAUCCAAAACUUCCCCGAAAGUACACCAACCGCCCCGCAAGUCAAAUAACAACAAAUACACACGAGGGCAUCAAAUAGGGGAAACAACGCUAAAAUACCCAAAAUGACCGGUCGGGUCAUUACAUUCUCCACCUCUUAAACAAGCUUUCAUUCUCAAACAUGUCUAGAAUUAUACCUGGGGUGUCAAAAAGUGAGGAUAUCUGCUCCGCAUCUCUGGCUCGGCCUCCCAAGUAACCUCUUUGACCGACUGACCUCUCCAAUGAACCCUUACCAAUUCAAUAUUCUUCGACCUCAACUUUCAAACAUACCAGUCCAAAAUAGCCACCACACCGUGCUGAAGUCUAAUACAUACUAUUUGGACUUCAUAAUCAUUCAAGAGCAUGGAAACAUGAAACACUAUUUGGACGGAUCCCUAUAAUACUUCUAGAGCAUGGAAACAUGAAAUACUAUUUGGACUCCCAAUAAACUAGGUGGCAAGGCAAGUCUUUAGGCUACCUCUCCAACUCUAUUUAGAACUCAAAAAGGCCAAUAUACUGAGAGCUUAACUUUUCCUUCUUUCCAAACCUCAUCACACCCUUCAUAGGUGAAAUUCUAAGUAGAACCUUCUCACCCACAAUAUAUGCCACAUCACAAGCCUUUCUUUCAGCAUAACUCUUCUCCCUGGACUGAGCUGUACAAAGCCGCUCCUGGAUCAACUUCACCUUUUCUAAAGCAUAAGGAAUCAAAUCAGUGCCCAACAACUUAACCUCAUCAGGCUCAAACCAACCAAUCAUAGAACAACAUCGCAUCUCUUAUAAGGACUCAUAUAGAGCCAUUUGGAUACUCGACUAAUAGUUGUUGCUGUAGGCGAACUAUGCUAACGGCAAAUAUUGAUCCCACUGACCCCCAAAAUCAAUAACACAGGCUCGUAGCAUGUCAUCCAAGAUCUGAAUAGUGCGCUCAGUCUGCUAUCCCUCUAGGGAUGAAAUGUUGUACUUAGCUCGACUUGUGUGCCUAGAUCAAUACUUAUCUUCAAAAAUGCGAUGUAAACUGCAUGCCUCGAUGCGAGAUUAUAGAUACGGGAAAAUCAUGAUGAUGAACAAUAUCCCGAAUAUAAAUUUGAGGCAGUUGUUUAGAAGAGUAACUAGUCAUUACUAGAAUGAAGUGUGUAGACUUGGUCAGUCUGUCCACAAUGACCCAUACUGCAUCAAAUCUGCUCAAAGUCUAUGGGAGUCCAACUACCAAAUCCAUGGUGAUACGCUCCCACUUCUACUCCAAAAUAUCUAGCCUCUGAAGCAAACCUAUCCGGUUUCUGAUGCUUGUACUUCACUUGCUGACAAUUCAAACACCGAGCAACAUACUCAACAAUAUCCUUCUUCAUGCUCCGCCACUAAUAGUGCUGCCUCAAAUCAUGGUACAUCUUUGCGGCACACAGAUGAAUGGAAUACCGCGAACUACAGGCCUUCUCUAGAAUCAACUCUCGCAACUCAUCCAUAUACGGAACAAAAAUCUGACCCUGAAGCUCAAUACCCCAUCAUCUCCAAUAUUAACCUCCAUAUCACCACCGUGUUGCACUGUUUCCCUUAGUACAAGCAAGUGGGGAUCAUCAUACUGACGCGCCUUGAUGCGCUCCAACAAGGACGAUCGUGAUUGAUUAUUGGCUAUAAAUGUAUGUUUGUAGUGUAUUACUUGCCUUAUAUUUUGGUGUUUUAAUUAUAAUAUGUGCGACAUUUUGGUCUUAAUUUUGUUGUUUUUAUGUGUUGGAUAGUUGAAGGAUGAAAACGAGUGAAGGUUGCAAUCAAGAAUGUCAAAAAUACAUAAAAUGAGCACGAUAAGGCACAAAUCGGGACAAGGACAGGAACCAGGCGCCAGGACAGCAACGCCUACCUCCAAGUGAAGAAGACAAGGUGAGGAAGCAGGCGAUGCGAACUCUAACGUAUGCCCCAGGUCAGGCCUCGCGAACUCCGAGGCAUAGACCAUUUCCAGUCCGUGCAUUAAACGUUUCCCACUUGGUUUUGAACUUGGGGACUCCGACCCUAGCCUAUAAAUAACUCUUAAACGUUAUUAGUUAGGGGUUGGUCAAUUUUCGAAGGUGGCAAAGGCUUAGAAAUAAAAAUGGUGCACGGAAUUCAUUGAAUCUUACAUCCUUCAUCUAGUAUUCAUAGCUUUUAUGUUUAAAAACAAUACUUUGAUUAUUAUUAUUAUGAACACGAGUGGCUAAUAACCUCAUUAUUCUGGGGUUAUGGGUUGUUAUUGACUAUUAUUGUUUGAUGGUUGAUUAUUUUGCUUGAGUUAUCAUAUUAAUUUUCUUAUUCAAUCUUGCACUUAAUUAUUAUAUUACGUAGUUAACAAUAGAAUAGUAUCUACGAAUUUAUAAUUGAACUCAAAAGUGGGAACUAUAGAUUGCAUAUAAGAUUGAGUUGAGUUAGUUAUUGAAUCUGGGCAUCAGAGAAUAGAUUCGCGAUUAGGAUAUAUAUAUUCUAGUUGCCUUACUUGGUUAUUUUCGUAGGAAAUAUACAUGCAAUUCUUGUUAAUUCUAAUUUUAUAGACAUAUAGUAUUAGGUUGUCUUGAAUAGGCGAGCGAAGCGUCGAAAGAACUUCGUGAGUAUAAUAAACCUUAUUACCCAAUAAAUUAGAUAAAUCAAGUAAUUAAAUCAACAAGAAGACUGCAAUAAGAGAGACGUUAAUCCCAUAACCCAGGAAUAUUCCCAUCUUAUUGAACUCUUCCCAAGUGUCGGCAUUUUUGCUUUGCACCGUUGAAUUUAUUGCUUGUAUAGUAAUUUCGUAGUAACUUUUAGUAUCAAAAAUCACAAACAUCUUCUUCACAACCCCUUGAGAAAUUACUUAUAAUUGUUUAGGCUAGACGAGAGUUAAUCAUAAAUCUUCGUGGGACGAUACUUUCUCAUCACUUUUUUACCUGUCGACCGCGCAUACUUGCGUGUGCGUUCGGACCCAACAAGUUUUUGGCGCCAUUGCCUGGGAUUUAGAAAUUAGCUACUUGUCUGAAAUAAGAUUUUAUUUGUUGUUGUUCGAGUUUUAAUUUGUUUUAUUGUUUCUGACUCUACAUGUGUUCACAUUGAAUGCUAAGAAGAAGUAACAAUUUGAACAAUCUUUCUUUCCCUGAUCCUAAACCCGAAAGACUUUUUCAUAUGUUAAGAAGGGAGGCACAAGAAAGAGCAAGAACUGCAGAGUUGGGCAUCGUAGUCCAACCACAAUCAAUAAAGAUGGUAGAGAAUGAUGAGAGACCGGUGAUUGAGGCCACAAGGACUAGUCUCACAAACAUGACUCAGGCUAUCGUGAAGCCUGACAUAACUGGUUACUUCGAGCUGAAAUAGUACAUAGUGCAACCAAUUCAAUCCACAUGGCAAUUUGUAGGUUUAUCGAGUGAAGAACCGCAAAGGCACAUAUAAAUUUGUUUUGGAGAUUAUAGAUACAUACAACUAUUUGAAUGUCUCCAAGGACUCUAUCAAACUAACCUUGUUUCCCUUUUCUCUGUUGGGAGAAACAAAGGAAUGGUUGAACAAAGAGCCAACAAACUCAAUCCACAUAUGGGAUGAUCUAGCACGGAAAUUCCUCAUCAAAAUUUUUUUCACAAAGAAAACAAAGUCACUGAGAAGCCAAAUUCUGGGGUUUGAAAAAAAAUAUAUGGCGAGACUCUAUGUCAAGCUUGAGAGAGAUAUAAAAAACUACUCAAAGAUUUCCCGCAUCACUGUCAAACAAAUGAAGUGUUGGGUCAUACUUUUGUGGAUACGUUAGACGAGAUUUCCAAAUUGAAUCUAGACACAGCUUGUGGAGGUAGUUUCAUGCAAAAGCCAUACAGUGAGAUUCAGACUCUACGGAAUAACAUUGUGAACGAUCAUAACUGGCAAGGUGAGGGUGAACCACAAAGAAUUAUAAAAUAGAGAGUAGUAGGUACAACUGUGCUUGAUGAGUUCUCAACCAUGAGAGCAGAUAUAGAAAAGUUAGCCAAUCAAGUGAAUAAGAUGUCGAUGCAACAAGCACAUUAGAUGCAGCAUGUGCAACCGAUGAAUGCAGUUUGUGAAGUUUGUGGAGAUGUUCACAUGAGUUACUAAUGUCCGAUAAAUCCAGAAUCUAUUUAUUAUGUGGGACAUCAGGAUAGAGGUCUAAUGAACCAAAUGCACAAUAUGGGAACACUUAUAAUCCCAACUGGAGGAAUCACUCAAACUUCUCAUGGGGUGGAAAUCGGGCUACUCAAAAUCAAUACAGACCCCAAGGAAACUAUAUUCUGCCCCAAAAGCCACUACAACAGGUAGAGGAAAGCACAAUGAUAUGUUGAAAAUGAUGUAAUUGACAACCAAUAGUUGAGGACUAAUUUUUGAAAUUUAGAGAGGCACAUUGGGCAGUUGCCCGCACAUAAAAAUACUCAACCUGCAGGUGUCCUUCAAAGUGAUACAUAGAUGAAUCCUCAAGUAAAUGCUAUAUCUUUAAGGAAUAGUGGAGAAUUGAAAGAAGUACCAAAAAAAAAAAGAAAGAAUAAGUCACUCCUGAAGGCGAACUAGUUCUUAAAGCUGUGGUGAAAAUUGGGAAUGAUACUGAGAAAAGUGAGAAAACACCAAUUGCAAGGCCACCACCCCUUCCCACAAAGUUUGAAGAAGAAGAGUGAUGACAGAAUGUUCAAUAAAUUUCUUGAUAUACUGAGCCAAAUCCAACUAUAUCUCCCAUUAGGUUAUGUGUUACAUGAAAUUACGAAGAAUGCUAAGUAUGUCAAGGAUAUUGUGGCAAACAAAAUAUGAUUGAUGAAGUUUGAAAUAGAAUCACUUACUGCAGAGUUCACUUUACGAAUUGAAAGAAAGUUGCCCUAAAAGUUGAAGGAUCCUAGAAGCUUUACCAUCCCUGUUCAAAUUGAUGAGAUGGAUGUAGGACGGGCACUUUGUGAUUUGGGGGCUAGCAUGAAUUUGAUGCCUCUCUCGAUUUUCAGUCAGUUGGGUUUGGGGGCCCAAAGGCAAACCACUUUCAUGGUACAUGUUUCUAAUAGAUCUAUUGAUCAUCCCGGGAGGGAGGGGGUGAUAGAAGAUGUGCUACUACAAAUUGGUUUUUUAUUCUCCCGGCGUAUUUCAUCAUAUUGGACUAUGAAGCUGAUGAACAUGUUGCAAUUAUCUUGGGACGAUCCCUCUUAGCCACCGCCAAUGCUAUGAUCUCAGUGGUUGAAAAGGAAGAAGAAAAUAAUGACGUGGAUGCAUAUCUGGAUGACUCUAUAGAGAAAGCACUUAUGUUGUUCGACAUCAUUGACUUGGAUGAUGAGGUUAAGGAGACGGUGCACUAUCUUGAUGCAUGUGCUUAAAUCAAAGGGAUGAUUAAUUUCGAGCCUCUAGAUUGACAGCCACCAUCCAUGCCGUCCAUCGAAGAAUCUCCCAAAUUGAAGCUCAAGUCCUUUCUGUCUUACCUUCAUUAUGCUUAUUAGGGUGCUAACGAAACUUUACCUAUUGUUGUAUCUUUUGAGUUGUCUAUUUUGUAGGAUGAGAAGCUACUUCGCAUGCUUAGAGAGCACAAGCGUGCGAUUGGAUGGACCAUGGAUGACAUUCGUGGUAUUAGCCCAAUGUUUUGUAUGCAUAAAGUUCUCAUGGAGGAUGGGCAUAAACUAAGUGUGAAACAUCAACGCCUCUUGAACCUAGUCAUGAAGGAAGUGGUAAGAAAGGAAGUCAUAAAGUAGCUAGAUGCAGGUGUGUUAUCUUUCCCAACUCUGAUAGCAAGUGGGUAAGUCAAAUAAAGUGUGUGCCUAAGAAGGGUGGAAUGAUGAUAGUCAUAAAUGAGAAUAAUAAAUUAAUUCCAACUAGAAUUGUCACAUAUUGAUGAAUUUUCAUAAAUUACCCGAAAUUAAAUAUUGCUACUAGAAAUGAUCGCUUCCCCCUUCCCUUCAUUGAUCAGAUGUUAGAUAGGUUAGCCGGACAAGACUAUUGUUAUUUUCUUGAUGGAUAUUCCAGCUAUAAUCAAAUAUUAAUUGCACUAAAUGACCAAGAUAAGACCACCAUUACUUGCCCUUAUGACACUUAUGCUUUUAAGAGAAUGCCAUUUGGGUUGUGCAAUGAACCUGCGACUUUACAAAGGUGCAUGAUGGCAAUCUUCACUGAUAUUGUAGAAAUAUUUAUUAAAGUAUUUAUGGAUAUUUUUUCGGUCUUCAGACUAUCUUUUGAUGAAUGCAUAAUGAAUUUUAGUAAAGUGCUUGAUAGAUGUGAAGAGACAAACUUGGUACUGAAUUGGGAGAAGUGCCAUUUUAUGGUACGAGAAGGGAUUAUACUCGGGUACAAAGCGUCCAAACAUAGGUUGGAAGUGGAUAAGGCAAAAGUGGAAGCAAUUGAUAAACAUCCACCUCCAAUUUAUAUCAAAUGAGUUAGAAGCUUUCUGGGUCAUGCAGGUUUCUAUCGCAGAUUCAUUAAAUAUUUCUCUAAGAUUUCUACUACCUUGUGGAGGUUGCUUCAGAAGGACAGACCUUUGAAGUUUGAUGAGGAUUGCUUGAAGGCAUAUGAGGAGUUAAAAAAGAGAUUGGUGACUGCACCGAUUAACACCGCCCCAAAUUGGGGGAGCCGUUUGAGUUGAAGUGUGAUGUACUGACAUGGAAAUUGGGGUCGUACUAGACCAGUAGAAAAACAAAGUGUUCUACUCGAUUUACUAUACUAGCAAAAUAUUAAAUCCAGCAUAGAUAAAUAACACGGUCACAAAAAAAAAGAGUUGCUAGUGAUAUUGUGGGCGUUUGACAAAUUUAGGGCCUACUUGGUGAGAACUAAAGUCAUCGUCUAUACAGACCAUGCAGCCAUCAAGUAUUUAUUUGAGAAAAAAGGAUACUAAUCUUAGACAAAUUUGAUGGGUUCUUAUUUUGUAGGAAUUUUAUGUGGAAAUUAAAGAACAAAAUGGGAUUGAAAAUCAGGUAGCCGAUCACUUAUGGCAUUGGAAACUUGCACGCAUGCCGAUGAAGAGGGCGAGAUUCAGAAAACCUUUCCUGAUGAGAAACUGUUAGCCGUUAUGGCUAGCGUAGCCCCAUGGUAUGCUGAAUAUGUGAAAUUCAUUGUAAGUGGGGUGACGCCUUCAGAGUUUUCAACGGAUGGUAAGAGUAAAUUCAUGCAUGAUGUUAGAUUUUAUCUUUGGGAUGAGCCAUUUUUGUUUAAGCAUUGUGCAGAUCAGUUUGUGCGCCGAUGUGUCCCUGAGGAGGAGAUGGAAGAAAUUUUUCAUGAAUGUCAUGCAUCACCUUAUGUAGGGUACCAUGGUGGAGACAAAACUGCGGCAAAGGUGUUGCAGUCGGGAUUCUAUUGGCCGACUUUGUUCAAGGAUACACAUGCUUUUGUGAAAAGAUGUGAUAGGUGUUUCCCUCUGUUUUCUCGCGAGAACGGGUUUCGACAUGUGACAACUCUCUUAAACAGGUAUUAAAAGAGAAAAGUCUCCACCUAAUAAUUUUUUAAGGUGCGUUAUUUGUAAAUAACUCCGUUUUAACUAGUCUGUGUUACCAAAGAUCGGGUAAGGGCUCAAAUUACCUCCAAGAGAAGGUGUUAGGCACUCUUCGAGGUCGACAACUGUAUUUCCCGUCCAAAUUAUAAAAGAUGUGGGAAUGAUCAAAUUGUAAAUAAUUAUUCUUAGUGAGCAUGCAAAUUAAUCCCUGGUAAAAAUAAUGGAAUAAAAGAGUCUAAGUAAAUGAUUAGUUACUCUAGGUGGAAUAGGUGGAAUAGGAUGAAGUAAUUAAUCAAAAGAAAUAAUAAAGAAGUAAUAUAAAGGAAAUAAUUUGAAAGAAUAAACUAAUGGGUACAACUCUUUUGGCUACAAGAUGUAAAAUUUAGAUAAACCUAAAUUCCUCAACUAACUAAAGGGGCAACAACAUUUAGACAUGACGGGGGGGGGGGGAGGGGGGGGAGGGGGGUCCGAGAUUUCUUAGGCUAAAGGAUCACACCGUGAAACAUAAAUAAUACUUUUUAACACUUAAGUGCAAUGGUUUCGCAUAUUAUCCAGCAAGCACAAACUAUCAUUUCUAGCUACCCGAUUACUAUCUUCAAUUGUUUACCUAAAGCGCACUAAUUCAAUCUAAGUUGUACCCUAUAUAUGUCUACCUAUCCCAUGCCUAUGGUCCAGGAGGUAUUGGACCGCUAUACAAGUGGUUCUCGACUCAUCCUAGGCUUUUCAAAAUUAAAAUACUAGGUGCCACAUAAUUAACAAACUGAACUUCAUAAAAAGUACAGUUAGCACAAAUGGCUCAUGUUUACCUCCACAAAAGACCUGCAUGAAUGUCAACAAAUAUCGAUUAACAGUUAUGGAGAAAUGGCAGAAUUGAUAAGUGAAUUGCCCUAUGAAUAUGCUCUUCUAGUCGCAAGAUUAAGUCGGGCAGUCAUGAGCUAAUGCGCAUUGAAUUAAUUAGUCCUAAAAUACGGUUUCUAUGUGGAAUCGCAGACGACCAGUUGCAACUAAUUAAAUUCAGAACUUAUACAUGGAUAAUCAAAGAAGACAAACUUCAUUAUUUAAGUACUAUGGGCAAGAUUUCUAAAUGAUUAUGAUUCAGACUGUUUUUAAAAUGACACAGGAGUUAAGUGAUACAAGUUCUUAUUUAUGGGACCUAUAGCCAUUAUUCCUAGGUAUGAAGUAUUAAGAGCAUAGUUUGUAGUAGGAUCAAUUGAACUAAUUAAAAAUCCCAUAUGCAUGAUACUAAAAUAUUAAAUCCUAAUACAUGAUACUAUAUGCAUGCUUUUAACCCAUUUAUGUAGUAAAUAAACUACCCCAAGCCCCUCUUAAGACUAUAUUCCCCAUCAUCUAUUUUUACAAGUUAUUACAGAUCAAAUAGAAUAGUUACAGGCACAAUUAUAAAACAACCCAAUAACGCAUCUGGGCCUUCAAAUAGACAUAGAACUUCAUGCGGGCGGCAAGCCCAAACUCUAGGUGCAAAGGCCACGCUGACAGUGUAUUUCUGACCUAAUACCAAACCUGGCCCAACAAACCAGUCCCAAAAGAAGCAACUACUUUGUUUACCCAUUAUUAUUAACAAGCAACAGGAACGCAAAGAACAUAAGUGAAAGCCUACGCAAAUCAGUUAUUUAGGCGACUUCAAAUUUAGGAAAGAACAUAUGCACAUUGGGUCCUUAUUUUUACAACUAACAAAGAACAAGAACCUUUAAAUAAUAUCAUAGGAUGUGAUAUUUAAGAGGUGAAAGAGCACAUAAAUAAGGAAAGGACACCUUUGAAAGUCUAUUAGCCUCAUAAAAUCUUAUGAAAUGGUAGGAACAUGAAGGGGGUAUACAAAACAUAUAGGUUAGAACAAACAUACAUCUGAUGGCUUUACCAGGUACAUAGAAUUAGUUCACAAUGACAGCCUCACAAAGAUAGACCUCCUAGAGUAGUCAGUACUUGAACGCAAAGAACAUAACAGACACGAGUCCUUCACAGGAAAGACUUAGCAUGAAAGUUUAACAUGGUCAUGAACUAAUCCUAGGAGGGUAACUAAAUACAAGCACUUACAGGAAAAGCUCUAACAUGAAAACCUAAAAAUAAAGCAUGGUCAAGGACUAAUUCUGAGGAGAUGGCAAAUACUAGUUCAUACAUGAAAGGCUUAGCAUGCAAAUCUAAGAUAAAAAAUAUCCAGGAAAUAAUUCCGAGAAGAUAACAAUAGCAGUCCUCACGGGGAAGACUUCAGCAUGAAAAUCUAAGGUAAUACAUAAUCAAGAACUUAAUCCUGAGAACAUAACAAGCAGAAGUCCUUACAGGAAAGACUUUACAUGAAAAUUCAGGGCAGACAUGGUCAUGAUUUAGUCAUAACAAAAAAUAAAUCCUUACACAAAGACUUAACAUUAACAUACAUGGAUCCUCAAAACAAUAUUUGACUAUGAAAUUGCAGCAAAUCAUACGACAAAAGUGCAAUAUUAGAGUUCACAAAUAGCAGGGUUACCUAAGUCAUGCUCGUCUAUUUUGAUAGGUGUUUACACAGUAUUGGCACACAAAAUACAUGUAACAUGAACAAGUAGAGAAGUAAGAAUUAAAACUGUAAGAGUCAAGAGCACUAACCAGUUGCAAAGAUAAAAGAGCAAAAGAGUAAGAAAAUUAGCAUUUCAGUAGUGGCUCAGUAGUAGCAAUUGAAGGAGGAUAGUGAGAACCCCAAGUCUCCGGUGCUUCAGAGUUAACAAGAGCCUCGAAAGGGCUUCGAGAAGUGCUUUCACUAGAGGAGGUAAUUAAGAAAUACCACGGUGGCCUUGUCCUUUAGCCGGAUAAGAACCAAAUCGAACACAAUAGUUUCAGAGAACCAGAACACAAUAUAACAAUUUGCGAGUGUUCGGGAGUAGUCAAUAAAGUAUGUUUAGGGGAAUUGCGGAAGGGGUUUAUAUAGUGUUAGAUUCACAUAAUCAGAAAAAGAAAAAGAUCAAUCAAAUAACAAAAUCGAAUAAAACUCAUGUAAACCUUAAUCGAGAAGAAAUCGACGGAAAUACGCAGGGACAUAGAAAUAUUCUCCCUUUCUGGAUUUACAGAGCCACAAUCGUGUCCGGAUCCAUAAGGUUGAAGUCAUAUCAACCCGAUUCAGGAGAAUCAUACUUUCCAUAGAUGGAUUGGUAACGAAUGUUACCAUAACUGAGCGAGUGAGCACGAAUAAAGUAUGUGAGCCUGCGUAUGGACGCGUAAAAAGGAAAGAACAGAGAAAAUCUUCAUGGCCGGCUAGGGUUUCAUCGUGAGCUAUGAAGAGAGUGACUGAGGGUGGCCGAAAUGGGAAAAUACGGGUUAGGGGUGGGGUUUGGUCAGAUAAAAGAGAGGGAUGGA